GACGAACGCUGGCGGCGUGCUUAACACAUGCAAGUCGAACGGAAAGGCCCCUUUGGGGGUACUCGAGUGGCGAACGGGUGAGUAACACGUGAGUAACCUGCCCUUGACUUCGGGAUAACUUCAGGAAACUGGGGCUAAUACCGGAUAGGAAUCCUUGCUGCAUGGUGGGGGUUGGAAAGCUUCGGCGGUUUUGGAUGGACUCGCGGCGUAUCAGCUUGGUGGUGGGGUAGUGGCUUACCAAGGCUUUGACGGGUAGCCGGCCUGAGAGGGCGACCGGCCACAUUGGGACUGGGAUGCGGGCAAGACUCCUACGGGAGGCAGCAGGGGGGAAUAUUGCACAAUGGGCGGAAGCCUGGUUCAGCAACGCCGCGGGCGGGAAGACGGCCUUCGGGGUGUAAACCGCUUACAGCAGGAGCGAAGCUUGUGGUGACGGUACCUGCAGAAGAAGCACCGGCUAACUACGUG
This 465-nucleotide ribosomal RNA is filed under the name uncultured bacterium. RNAcentral's name for it is "partial 16S ribosomal RNA". It matches the Rfam family "Bacterial small subunit ribosomal RNA", at positions 28 to 507 of the family's 1533-position model. The record is from RNAcentral.